CUUCACCAAUUGGUAAAACUAACAGUCCAAAGGUUUCAACUACACCGAAAAGUAUGCAGAGAAGAGUAUUGGGUAUAGUAUAAGGUCGCAAGAUAAAAAGUUAAUGAUGCUGGAUAGCAUGUGUCAUGGAUUGGGUCACCUUGUCUCUAUAGCAGUUGAGGUGAACUUUAGACACACAAUUUACAACCAAAAUUUUAAGAUAGAAAAAAAUUAAGCCAAGGGAUAUGGUACCGAAAGAUUGGUAACAGACGUACGAAUUUGGUUCUGUAAGCCUUUUUAAGCAUUUAAGAAGGGUAGUAAAUCUCAUUGAACACGAUCUGCGUAUAUUGGAUAUACCAAUUGGAGUAGGAUCAGUUUAUCUUGACAUGUUUUUACACGUCAAUGCGUGUAAGUUGUGACGUAGCAAAUGCUAUAAAUGGUAGUGCAAUUUUAAAGUUUUACCUAUUCGUUAUAGGGUCAUUUACAGGAGUGAGACGCUUUGCUAUCAGAAAAUCGGCAUGUCUACAAGAAGUUCACGCUUGUCGGAGAAAGGUGCUGUGUAUCUCAAUUAUGGAUUUGACGAUACGUCAUCUGGUGAUAGCAAAUGUGCCAAAGAGACUUCAGUUGCGGAUAAUUCCAAUCCAUCGGUGGCAAUACAAGCGGAAACGUAACAUAUGGAGGUUUCCAUUCGUGGCCUACGAGAAUGGUGGCGGUGCCUUUUUAGUCCCUUAUCUAAUCGUGCUGGCCUUCAUUGGACGACCGCUCUAUUUUCUCGAGAUGGUCUUGGGACAGUUUUCCAGUUCAGGAUCUGUUAAAAUUUGGGAUUGUGUACCGAUUGCAAAAGGUAUUGGAUAUGGGCAAGCACUGGCUACCUGGUGUGUCGUCACAUAUUACUGCGUCCUGAUGGCGCUGUCCUUCUUCUACCUCUUUGCUUCAUUUCAAGCCGUGUUGCCCUGGACGGAAUGUGACCCAGAAUGGGCCACUGAGAAUUGCUACAGUACCACAGCUAAUCUAUCGGUGUACAACCUGACGAAUGAGAGUGUAUCUAGUGCAGAAGAAUAUUUCAAAAUUUAUGUAUUGAAGAAAAUUCCAAAUAUGGAUUCUGGGAUAGGUGUUCCAGAUUGGCGUUUAACACUGUGCCUUCUACUUUGCUGGAUUUUAGUAUUCGCUAUGCUAGCUAAAGGAGUUUCUUCAUCAGGAAAGGUGGCCUACUUUACAGCUCUCUUCCCUUAUGUUGUGCUGAUCACGCUGCUAAUAAGAGGAUGCACUUUACCUGGAGCGGGCGAUGGUAUUUUAUACUUUAUCACACCUGAUUGGGAAAAAGUCUUGACACCAGAUGUUUGGUAUGCAGCGGUAACUCAGUGCUUCUUCUCUCUCUCUGUGGGGUUUGGACCAAUUUCUACAUUUUCGAGUUAUAAUCCAUUCCGUCAUCCAAUUUACAGAGAUUCAACGAUAGUCAGUCUCGCUGAUACUUUUACUAGUAUUCUAGCUGGAGUUACGAUUUUUGCAAUUCUCGGUAAUUUAUCUUACGAAACAAAUCAGCCUAUUGAGAAUGUCGUCGAAGGAGGCACGGGAUUGGCGUUCAUUUCCUACCCAGAGGCUAUUUCGAAAUUUGAUUCUGUCCCCCAGUUGUUUGCCGUGCUGUUUUUCCUGAUGCUCAUAACACUGGCUAUCGGUAGUGCCUCCGGACUUGCUGGAUGCAUUAUUACAAUCCUUAGUGAUGAUCUCCUUCAGAUUCCUCGAUGGAUUAUCACAGCAGUCGUUUGCGCGGCCAGUUUCCUUAUUGGACUUGUCUACGUUACACCGGGAGGCCAGUAUAUUCUAGAUCUGGUCGAUUACUUUGGCGGUGGAUUCAUUAUUUAUGUAAUGGUGAUCGCUGAAACCAUUGCUGUAUGUUGGUUUUACGGUCUUGAGCAAAUCGUCAAAGAUAUUCGUUUCAUGUUGAGUUUUGGUCUGGGAAUUUAUUGGAAAUUAACUUGGUGUAUUUUCAUCCCAAUUGCCCUUGCAGUCAUUUUCAUUUAUGCAAUGGUUGUCUAUGAACCGUUAAAAACGGAUGAUGGGGAACCUUACCCUCCUUCAGCAAACGCCGCUGGAUGGUUGGUGGCUGCCAUUGCUAUUCUCCAGCUUCCAAUCUGGGCUGCUUACGUCAUUCACAAACAAAAGGGAACAACCUGGUUUCUGAGAUUUAAAGCCAGUCUUCUACCAGCAGAGGAAUGGGGACCUAAAGACCCUGAAACUAAACGGCUCUGGUUAGACUACAACAAGCAGUUCGUGCGCUUCAGUUGGAUUCCCAAUCCAAAGUGGUUAAGCAACUGUAAAUCACGUUGAAAUGUUUGUAUAAAAGAAACCUCUUAGAAAUUUAUUUCCAACAUAAAUUAUAUUGUGCUCAAAACUAUAGAGUUUAAACCAUUUUUAAUAGCGUUAAAUUCUAGAGAUGGAAUAUGAAAUCGCCAAUGUGACAAUGCUUCAUAUUUGAAAAAUAAUUAAAUAGCAGAAAAGAAUGUCAGACAAUACGAAUUUUCAUUUCGCAACUUGACGGACAGGGAUAAAGUAGGAAAAACAAUUUAAACUAUAGAACAGUUUUUGACGUUAUUAGAAUUAUUACGCAAUUUACAGGAUGGUACUUGCAAUUGGAAAUAUUACAAACACAGCUUCUAGAACAGACAGUAUUUAGAAGGAUGUAUAAUGUGAUGUUAUGUAGAAAAUUUAAACACAAUACAUUUGCAUGCGGACAGUAACAAUUUUGUUUUACAUAAAUGUUUUUCAUGUAUAAAAAAAUGGCAUGCAUCUUCUCGAAUUGGCAGGAAAAGAAUA
Molecule: unclassified non-coding RNA, 2793 nt
Filed under: Daphnia magna
Lineage: Eukaryota; Metazoa; Arthropoda; Branchiopoda; Diplostraca; Daphniidae
Description: sodium-dependent nutrient amino acid transporter 1, transcript variant X2
Source: RNAcentral